Molecule: ribosomal RNA, 402 nt
Filed under: uncultured bacterium
Lineage: Bacteria
Description: bacterial SSU rRNA
Rfam family: Bacterial small subunit ribosomal RNA
Source: RNAcentral
UGGGGAAUCUUGCACAAUGGGGGAAACCCUGAUGCAGCGACGCCGCGUGAACGAUGAAGCCCUUCGGGGUGUAAAGUUCUUUCGACAGGAACGAUAAUGACGGUACCUGGAGAAGAAGCUGCGGCUAACUACGUGCCAGCAGCCGCGGUAAUACGUAGGCAGCGAGCGUUGUUCGGAGUUACUGGGCGUACAGAGUGCGUAGUCGGCGAGCCAAGUUUGGUGUGAAAUCUCCCGGCUUAACCGGGAGGGUGCGCCGAAAACUGGUUGGCUGGAGUAUGGGAGAGNAAAGCGGAAUUCCUGGUGUAGCGGUGAAAUGCGUAGAUAUCAGGAGGAACACCUGCGGUGUAGACAGCUUUCUGGACCAAAACUGACGCUGCGGCACGAAAGCGUGGGUAGCAAACA